RNAcentral lists this long non-coding RNA (317 nucleotides) under Athene cunicularia (burrowing owl). Its description in RNAcentral is "lncRNA (ENSACUG00000014688.1)". Lineage: Eukaryota; Metazoa; Chordata; Aves; Strigiformes; Strigidae. The record is from RNAcentral.
GGUAUUCAGCCUGUUCUUUCAAGCCCUGUGACACCUAGUAAAACUGAAAUAGCAGAUGCUGGACCAGCAACAAGUGAAUCCAUUCUGGAAUCUUUCACACCUAAAACUUUGCGUCCUUUUCAUUGGCCAAGCGUAACAUUAGCUCCAAAGGAAAUACCACUUAUUCCUUCUAAACUGAAACCAUCUGCUACCCCAGAAGUACAGCAUGUGAAACCUGGUAAUUGUGCACACCAUUUUUAUAAGUUGGUAGGCAGAGACAUAUGUUUACUAAAAAUAUCUAAGCAAAACUUCCCAAAAAGGACAGGAGCUAUGCAAUA